CACGUAGGGUCCGAGCGUUGUCCGGAAUUACUGGGCGUAAAGCGCGCGCAGGCGGUCUGGUCAGUCGAUGGUGAAAGCCCCACGCUCAACGUGGGAAGGUCCGUCGAGACGGCCAGACUGGAGGCAGGGAGAGGUCGGUGGAAUUCCGGGUGUAGUGGUGAAAUGCGUAGAGAUCCGGAGGAACACCAGAGGCGAAGGCGGCCGACUGGACCUGACCUGACGCUGAGGCGCGAAGGCGUGGGGAGCGAAC
This 250-nucleotide ribosomal RNA is filed under the name uncultured bacterium. RNAcentral's name for it is "partial 16S ribosomal RNA". It matches the Rfam family "Bacterial small subunit ribosomal RNA", at positions 524 to 773 of the family's 1533-position model. The record is from RNAcentral.